AUUGAACGCUGGCGGCAUGCUUUACACAUGCAAGUCGAACGGCAGCGCGGGGGCAACCCUGGCGGGCGAGUGGCGAACGGGUGAGUAAUGCAUCGGAACGUAUCCUGUAAUGGGGGAUAACGUAGCGAAAGUUACGCUAAUACCGCAUACGCUCGAGAGAGGAAAGUGGGGAGUCGCAAGACCUCACGUUAUAGGAGCGGCCGAUGUCCGAUUAGCUAGUUGGUGGGGUAAAGGGCCUACCAAGGCGACGAUCGGUAGCUGGUCUGAGAGGAUGAUCAGCCACACUGGGACUGAGACACGGCCCAGACUCCUACGGGAGGCAGCAGU
RNAcentral lists this ribosomal RNA (327 nucleotides) under uncultured bacterium. RNAcentral's name for it is "bacterial SSU rRNA". It matches the Rfam family "Bacterial small subunit ribosomal RNA", at positions 30 to 355 of the family's 1533-position model. The record is from RNAcentral.